UCGCUAGGUGUCUCGCCACGACUGCGACUGUUGUCGGUGCCGAUAGGAAGCCGUGAAGCGAGCCACCUGGGAAGUACGGCCGCAAGGCUGAAACUUAAAGGAAUUGGCGGGGGAGCACCACAACGGGUGGAGCUUGCGGUUUAAUUGGAUUCAACGCCGGAAAUCUUACCGGGACCGACAGCAAUAUGAAGGCCAGGCUGAAGACUUUGCCGGAUUAGCUGAGAGGUGGUGCAUGGCA
Molecule: ribosomal RNA, 238 nt
Filed under: uncultured archaeon
Lineage: Archaea
Description: partial 16S ribosomal RNA
Rfam family: Archaeal small subunit ribosomal RNA
Source: RNAcentral